RNAcentral lists this long non-coding RNA (2418 nucleotides) under Portunus trituberculatus (swimming crab). RNAcentral's name for it is "uncharacterized LOC123516025". Lineage: Eukaryota; Metazoa; Arthropoda; Malacostraca; Decapoda; Portunidae. The record is from RNAcentral.
AUGGCUUCUUGGGGACAGUGCUAAAUUGCCAUAUUUGGUAAACAAAGGACCUCUUGACAAUAUUUACCACAAGAUAACAAGAGAUGCAACAUUCCACCAGUGAGAAAGGCUGAAGACAUUCAGUCAGAGGAGAGGAGUUGAAAAGACAAAAAGCUUUUGGUUCACAAGGUUUUAGACAUGAAGUUUGUGGUGGAGCAGGUGAGCAAGGAUUGAGGAUGGCGAGGCAGGCUGGGUGGUUUCCGCAGCCAGCCGGAUAGUAUCCACAGCACUCCACUCUCCCUUAUUUUCAUCAAUGGAGGCAGUAUACCACAUCUUACGCAGGAUGUGCUGCACUGGUGGCGUGGCAUUGAGGGAAGCACCUCUUUGUAUCCCUGCCCAGCACUUUAUUGAACACAGGAAGGUGCUCCAGAGUUUCAAGAAGGGAGUGGUACACACACUUUGCUGCAUUCCAAGCUUUUGGAGGUCCAGCAACACACUGCUUUCUUAUAAGUGUGUGUCCAGAGUGCAAGGCAGAGAGGGGCAAGGAUGGAGGAUGCUUCAAUAUUCACAGCAUCAUUGGUUCAUGCUUCCUUUUUUUGUGGAAAGUAGUGCACACAGUUUUAACCAAAGGAUUAUAUGUUAUCAUUCAAAUUCAUAGAUUUCAUGACUUAACAUUGUGUAUAUUUAGCUACAAGGAGUAAUGGUUUAUGAAAUUUGUAAUGUACAGACAUGAACCAUUGUCCAUUGCACUUUCUGCAGAUGGAAUUUCAGUCAACACUGCAAGGUGUGUGUGUGUGUGUGUGUGUGUGUGUGUGUGUGUGUGUGUGUGUGUGUGUGUGUGGGUGGGUGUGUGUGUGUGCAGCUUUGUGGGCAAGUGUGCCAGUCAUUCCCUUAUGUCAAUGUCUUUCAUUUCGGAAGAAAAUGUUGUGUGUUAUCAGGUUUAUAUACAUUUUUGAGUGAAUAUUUAGACUGAUUAAGUAGUAAGUUUCUCAACUUUCUAGAGCUUUGCUCUCACUGUUCUGUGUAAGACUUCAGGGGCCGUAAUCUACAAACUGUCAUAGCUAAUAACAUCAUUCCAAGACAAAAUGCUGUAUUUUAGACACAAGUCCCUCUAUGACAAGCUCUAACCUUGUGACUUGUCAUAAGUAUCAAGAUAGGGUUCAUCCUGUUGUGCUGCCAACUGCCAUCUUAAAACUCUUGUCAACAUGAUGGGAACUUGGCUGUAUGUACCAUAGCAUGAUCCCAGACGUUUUUUUAUAAAUAUUUAGUGAUAAGCAUCUGUAAUGAUGACUAAAUAAUGUCCUUCUUUGAUGCAGUAAUUUACCAUCAUAGAUAACUGCCCAGAGAGGUACAAUCAGUUUUCCCAUAACUCAAACAAACCUUACUCGGCAUGGCCUGCAUGUGUCGGGCGUAAUCUUCUCCUGUUUGUUGUGCUUAUUUUGUUUGGAUACACAGUCUAACUCUUCCCAAAGUAGUAAUAUUAUGUCAGAAUUAUUUAAAUUUAAAAAAAAAUUAUGUCAAGGAGUUAUUUCUUUCUAUACAUAUAUGAAGUUGACAAAUAAUGAGCCUAAAGACUAACUGUGGAGUGACAGUCAGGCAUUCAGUGAGACCUGAGGCUAACUGUGUAGAAUGCUGCCCCAGAAUGAUGGUCUGUGUUUAUAUAUAUAUAUAUAUAUAUAUAUAUAUAUAUAUAUAUAUAUAUAUAUAUAUAUAUAUAUAUAUAUAUAUAUAUAUAUAUAUAUAUGAAAUGCUUAAGAUAAUGUUAGAGUUUUGGCCUCAAAAUGCUACUCUUAUGUUCUUAUAUUAUUAUUAUUAUUUUUUUUUUUUUUAUGUUAUAUUAGACAAGUGUUUAGAUGGCAAUGAUAGGUGGAAUGAGGUAGACCUGUUCAUACAGGAACUGCUGCCAUGUUUGUGCAGGCUUCAUAGUAAUGAUAGAUAGAAAGAAGUACAACUGUUCACAGAGGGACUGCUGCCAUGUAUAUGUAGGCCUCAUUUUUGUUUCUCUAGUAGUUUUGGAAUCAUUGCAAGUUGAAAGUACUCCCAAAGUAAUGUAAUACUUGAAAAAUUGUCAAAAUUUUAUUUUUAAAGUUGAAAAUUGUAGAAAUUCUAAGUUGAAAAUUUGUAGAAAUUCUAAGGUAAAAAUUGUAAGUUGAAAGUUGUAGGAUUUUAUCUAAGUUGAAAAUUUUGAUAGACUUCAAAAAUUGUACAAAUCCUGCCAUGCUAGUUUGAAAAUUUGUAGAAAUUCUAAGGUAAAAAUUGUAAGUUGAAAGUUGUAGGAUUUUAUCUAAGUUGAAAAUUUUGAUAGACUUCAAAAAUUGUACAAAUCCUGCUAUGCUAGUGUAAAAAUUCGUCAAAAAUUGUAAUUUUAUCAUUGAAGAUUUUGGUAGUUUUCAGAUUUUACACAAAUGUGUUGAUUGAAUAAAAGGGAAGCAAGGGAGA